Molecule: ribosomal RNA, 460 nt
Filed under: uncultured bacterium
Lineage: Bacteria
Description: partial 16S ribosomal RNA
Rfam family: Bacterial small subunit ribosomal RNA
Source: RNAcentral
CCUACGGGAGGCAGCAGUGAGGAAUAUUGGUCAAUGGGCUUACGCCUGAACCAGCCAAGUCGCGUGAGGGAAGACUGCCCUAUGGGUUGUAAACUUCUUUUAUAUGGGAAUAAAACAGGGUAUGCAUACCCUCUUGUAUGUACCAUAUGAAUAAGGAUCGGCUAACUCCGUGCCAGCAGCCGCGGUAAUACGGAGGAUCCGAGCGUUAUCCGGAUUUAUUGGGUUUAAAGGGAGCGUAGGUGGAUUGUUAAGUCAGUUGUGAAAGUUUGCGGCUCAACCGUAAAAUUGCAGUUGAAACUGGCAGUCUUGAGUACAGUAGAGGUGGGCGGAAUUCGUGGUGUAGCGGUGAAAUGCUUAGAUAUCACGAAGAACUCCGAUUGCGAAGGCAGCUCACUGGACUGCAACUGACACUGAUGCUCGAAAGUGUGGGUAUCAAACAGGAUUAGAUACCCGAGUAGUC